UACCCUCACAAAGUUAUGAAAUAUUAUAAAUACCCUUUGAAUUUUUAAAAUUUCACAAAUACCUCUCUAACAAUAUUUCUUUCAUAAAUAUCCUCACCGUUAUUUUUUGCUAACUUCCGUCAACAUAGCAUUUUUUAUUUUAUUUCAAAAUAUAAAAUUACCAUUUUACCCUUAUUUUUUGUUUAAAAAUCAAACUUUUGUCACUUAUUUUUUGAUAUUUAUACUAAAACUAUC
RNAcentral lists this long non-coding RNA (234 nucleotides) under Ananas comosus (pineapple). RNAcentral's name for it is "long non-coding RNA (ACOM_LNC027675)". Lineage: Eukaryota; Viridiplantae; Streptophyta; Magnoliopsida; Poales; Bromeliaceae. The record is from RNAcentral.